RNAcentral lists this ribosomal RNA (497 nucleotides) under uncultured bacterium. Its description in RNAcentral is "partial 16S ribosomal RNA". It matches the Rfam family "Bacterial small subunit ribosomal RNA", at positions 28 to 507 of the family's 1533-position model. The record is from RNAcentral.
GACGAACGCUGGCGGCGUGCCUAAUACAUGCAAGUUGAGCGCUGAAGGUUGGUACUUGUACCGACUGGAUGAGCAGCGAACGGGUGAGUAACGCGUGGGGAAUCUGCCUUUGAGCGGGGGACAACAUUUGGAAACGAAUGCUAAUACCGCAUAAAAACUUUAAACACAAGUUUUAAGUUUGAAAGAUGCAAUUGCAUCACUCAAAGAUGAUCCCGCGUUGUAUUAGCUAGUUGGUGAGGUAAAGGCUCACCAAGGCGAUGAUACAUAGCCGACCUGAGAGGGUGAUCGGCCACAUUGGGACUGAGACACGGCCCAAACUCCUACGGGAGGCAGCAGUAGGGAAUCUUCGGCAAUGGACGAAAGUCUGACCGAGCAACGCCGCGUGAGUGAAGAAGGUUUUCGGAUCGUAAAACUCUGUUGGUAGAGAAGAACGUUGGUGAGAGUGUAAAGCUCAUCAAGUGACGGUAACUACCCAGAAAGGGACGGCUAACUACGUG